This 253-nucleotide ribosomal RNA is filed under the name uncultured bacterium. Its description in RNAcentral is "partial 16S ribosomal RNA". It matches the Rfam family "Bacterial small subunit ribosomal RNA", at positions 524 to 776 of the family's 1533-position model. The record is from RNAcentral.
UACGUAGGGGGCUAGCGUUGUCCGGAUUUAUUGGGCGUAAAGAGCGUGUAGGCGGCCUGGUAGGUCUGCUGUGAAAACUCGAGGCUCAACCUCGAGAUGUCGGCGGAAACCAUCUGGCUAGAGUCCGGAAGAGGAGAGUGGAAUUCCUGGUGUAGCGGUGAAAUGCGCAGAUAUCAGGAGGAACACCAAUGGCGAAGGCAGCUCGCUGGGACGUGACUGACGCUGAGACGCGAAAGCGUGGGGAGCGAACAGG